This 252-nucleotide ribosomal RNA is filed under the name uncultured Eubacteriales bacterium. RNAcentral's name for it is "uncultured Clostridiales bacterium partial 16S ribosomal RNA". It matches the Rfam family "Bacterial small subunit ribosomal RNA", at positions 524 to 776 of the family's 1533-position model. The record is from RNAcentral. Lineage: Bacteria; Bacillati; Bacillota; Clostridia; Eubacteriales.
UACGUAGGGAGCAAGCGUUGUCCGGAAUUACUGGGUGUAAAGGGAGCGUAGGCGGGGAUGCAAGUUGGGUGUCAAAACUACCGGCUCAACCGAUAGUCGCACUCAAAACUGCAGCUCUUGAGUGAAGUAGAGGCAGGCGGAAUGCGUGGUGUAGCGGUGAAAUGCAUAGAUAUCACGCAGAACCCCGAUUGCGAAGGCAGCAUACCGGUGCACAACUGACGCUCAGGCACGAAAGCGUGGGUAUCGAACAGG